CCACUUGGCACACUGAGCACGACACACUGCUUUGCAUCCCAGAUGGACUGGGUGUGGAGGAUGUGCACUUCAUUCAGCUGAGAAGGUGGCAUAUUCUGAUGUGUGCAGAGACUCACCAAGUUAGAAAACUUAGAUGCCUUAGACAUGUUCCACAAGUAACCAAAUUGCCAAGAAUGUAGAGGACCAGCCUUUCCAAAGAGUUCUCACCUUUCCAAACAGUUUUGAAAAUUGGUGGACACGCUCUGAGGAAUAGAGCACAUCAUCUUCACACAAUCCUAAUUUACAAUAUAUGACAAUGAAGAUGUGUUUGAUUCUUAGAAUUACAGGAAAUGUUCUUGUAACAGCUUGUGAUGUUCCCUCCCUAAAGCUACAGCAGGGAAUUUGGAUUCAUCAGCUGUAACUUGUGACGGAAUGAAGAAGAGCCUCUUUUAAAUGUUACAGAAGUAUAAAGUAGUGAAGCUUUGUGGUACUUUAAAAUCUGCUGAAUAUGUGUAUUUUUAUUUUAUUUUAUGGGACGCAAGGGGAGAGAGUAAUUAUGAUUGUAAGUAUCAAAUAUAUGUCAGCUUAUCUGCAACAACAUCUCAGUCACAGAUUUAUAGGUGGUUCUCAGAUCGUCCUGAGGCUCAAAAUAGCUCUUUGUACUGUUAGAACCUUGAGAUGUU
Molecule: long non-coding RNA, 662 nt
Organism: Melospiza melodia melodia
Lineage: Eukaryota; Metazoa; Chordata; Aves; Passeriformes; Passerellidae
Exons: 4
Source: RefSeq, a predicted model, not a curated record